Molecule: ribosomal RNA, 293 nt
Filed under: uncultured bacterium
Lineage: Bacteria
Description: partial 16S ribosomal RNA
Source: RNAcentral
GGACUACCGGGGUAUCUAAUCCUGUUCGCUCCCCACGCUUUCGCUCCUCAGCGUCAGUAUCGGCCCAGUGUGCCGCCUUCGCUACGGGUGUUCCUCCUGAUCUCUGCGCAUUUCACCGCUCCACCAGGAAUUCCACACACCCCUACCGAACUCUAGUCAUGGCAGUAUCGAAUGACCCCUCCAGGUUGAGCCUGGAGAUUUCACACCCGACUUACCAAACCGCCUACGAGCUCUUUACGCCCAAUAAAUCCGGACAACGCUCGCCCCCUACGUAUUACCGCGGCUGCUGGCAC